GGAGCCUCCCGCGCGGCGGCAUCCUGGCCAACUCCCCCAGGGCGGAGACGCAGCAAGGGUAACUGGGCUCUGUCGGGUGCGCGGGGGGUCUUCUU
This 95-nucleotide signal recognition particle RNA is filed under the name Pseudoclavibacter sp. RNAcentral's name for it is "signal recognition particle sRNA small type". It matches the Rfam family "Bacterial small signal recognition particle RNA". From Rfam's summary of the family: The signal recognition particle (SRP) is a universally conserved ribonucleoprotein involved in the co-translational targeting of proteins to membranes. The record is from RNAcentral. Lineage: Bacteria; Bacillati; Actinomycetota; Actinomycetes; Micrococcales; Microbacteriaceae.